CAGUAGCCACGGUAAUACGUAGGUGGCAAGCGUUGUCCGGAAUUAUUGGGCGUAAAGCGCGCGCAGGUGGUUUAAUAAGUCUGAUGUGAAAGCCCACGGCUCAACCGUGGAGGGUCAUUGGAAACUGUUAAACUUGAGUGCAGGAGAGAAAAGUGGAAUUCCUAGUGUAGCGGUGAAAUGCGUGGAGAUUAGGAGGAACACCAGUGGCGUAGGCGGCUUUUUGGCCUGUAACUGACACUGAGGCGCGAAAGCGUGGGGAGCAAACAGGAUUAGAUACCCCUGUAGUCCCUGUCUCUUAUAC
Molecule: ribosomal RNA, 301 nt
Filed under: uncultured bacterium
Lineage: Bacteria
Description: partial 16S ribosomal RNA
Rfam family: Bacterial small subunit ribosomal RNA
Source: RNAcentral